ACUUAAAUGGCUUAUAGUUUAGAGCGCAACAUUGAAGAUGUUGAUGAGGUAUUAUUUACCUUUAGGUA
Molecule: transfer RNA, 68 nt
Filed under: Labiotermes sp. BRA008
Lineage: Eukaryota; Metazoa; Arthropoda; Insecta; Blattodea; Termitidae
Also listed under: 1 other name
Description: tRNA-Phe
Source: RNAcentral